UUGGGGCUGAAAGCAACCUCCAAAGGUGUUUGCUUUAAGGUUUGUCAAUCCAGGACUCUCACUCAUAUCAACUGGACUAUCAGACACAGUCCGCAAUUCAAACCCAUGAAGCAGUCGAGCCAGUGUCAGGAUCAGAACCUGGAGUGCGAAUGACACUCCUGGACACAUUCUUCUACCAGAUCCAAAUGGUAAGUAUUCAAAAUCCUGACCCCUGAAAUCCAAAGUUACAUGCUCAUUCAGGAACCUCUCAGGCUGAAAUUCCAAAGGGUUAGUUCAAAUGCUAGGGUCACGGUGUAACUUCCAAAGGUUAACGAAAAGUCGUGUGCCUGCCGGGAUGUGGAAGCCGGCUAUCAUGCAAUCCUCCAUGGCUUCCCUUUGUACUGAGAGUGGAGUGGCAGGGGGNNNNAUGUUUCCUUGACAAUAGCUUGCAAGUAUACCAGGUUCUUUACAUCUGACUCCUCCACUCGUUGGUGCUUUCCUACUUGGAUGUCAAGCUCAUCUUGAGCCUUUUUAAGAACAAUGCGGUUGUUUAGUAGCAAAGAUAGUGCCCAUGUAAGAG
Molecule: unclassified non-coding RNA, 559 nt
Filed under: Hevea brasiliensis (rubber tree)
Lineage: Eukaryota; Viridiplantae; Streptophyta; Magnoliopsida; Malpighiales; Euphorbiaceae
Source: RNAcentral